GUAGUCCACGCCCUAAACGAUGUGCGCUAGCUGUCGGGGGCGAGGCUCUCGGUGGCGCAGCCAACGCGUUGAGCGCACCGCCUGGGGAGUACGGCCGCAAGGUUGAAACUCAAAGGAAUUGACGGGGGCCCGCACAAGCGGUGGAGCAUGUGGUUUAAUUCGACGCAGCGCGCAGAACCUUACCAGCCCUUGACAUGGCGGUUACGGUCCUGGGAGACUGGGGCCAUCGGUUCGGCCGGGCCGUCACAGGUGCUG
This 255-nucleotide ribosomal RNA is filed under the name uncultured bacterium. RNAcentral describes it as "partial 16S ribosomal RNA". It matches the Rfam family "Bacterial small subunit ribosomal RNA", at positions 790 to 1043 of the family's 1533-position model. The record is from RNAcentral.